This 493-nucleotide ribosomal RNA is filed under the name uncultured bacterium. RNAcentral describes it as "partial 16S ribosomal RNA". It matches the Rfam family "Bacterial small subunit ribosomal RNA", at positions 28 to 507 of the family's 1533-position model. The record is from RNAcentral.
GACGAACGCUGGCGGCGUGCUUAACACAUGCAAGUCGAACGGUGAAGCGCCUUCCUUUUUGGUGGGUGUGGAUGAGUGGCGAACGGGUGAGUAACACGUGAGUAACCUGCCCCCUUCUUCUGGAUAACCGCAUGAAAGUGUGGCUAAUACGGGAUAUUCUGGGUCUGUCGCAUGAUGGGUCUGGGAAAGAUAUUGUUUCGGUGGGGGAUGGGCUCGCGGCCUAUCAGCUUGUUGGUGGGGUGAUGGCCUACCAAGGCGGUGACGGGUAGCCGGCCUGAGAGGGUGGACGUCCAAGCUGGGCUGAGACACGGCCCAGACUCCUACGGGAGGCAGCAGUGGGGAAUAUUGCACAGUGGGCGCAAGCCUGAUGCAGCGACGCCGCGUGAGGGAUGGAGGCCUUCGGGUUGUGAACCUCUUUCGCCAGUGAAGCAGGCCUGCCUCGUUUGUGGGUGGGUUGACGGUAGCUGGAUAAGAAGCGCCGGCUAACUACGUG